UCAGAAGUAGAAAAAAAAUUAAUUUGUCACAUUACUAUUGUCAUAUUAUUACAGUAAUAAAUUUCAUUCAACCAGAACACUUAAGGCGUUCAUGAUGAAAGGUGAUACCAAAGAAGGUUCUGAACAAGGUUCUGAAGCUAAAAACAACAAUAAAGGGGAAAAAAAUCCAGUAUUAAUGAAGUUUAUUCUAUUCGGAUCAAUUGUGGCAGUUCUAAGAGCAAUGCCACUGGUAAUCCAACUUUGCAAGGAUAUGAAUCAGUAGUGUUGCUGAUUACAUUGUGUGUUUUGUAUUGUGAACAUUUUUAUAUAAUAUACACAACUUUAUCAUGUAAUAUCACAGUGAAUAAAGUUUGAAUAAAAAAUCACUAAAUA
Diorhabda carinulata is the source of this 372-nucleotide long non-coding RNA. RefSeq lists it as uncharacterized. NCBI's taxonomy places the organism in Eukaryota, Metazoa, Arthropoda, Insecta, Coleoptera, Chrysomelidae. The record is from RefSeq and is a predicted model, not a curated record. The transcript has 2 exons.